CCUACGGGUGGCAGCAGUGAGGAAUAUUGGUCAAUGGACGAAAGUCUGAACCAGCCAAGUAGCGUGAAGGAUGACGGCCCUAUGGGUUGUAAACUUCUUUUAUAUGGGGAUAAAAUGUUUCACGUGUGGGCUUUUGUAUGUACCUUAUGAAUAAGGACCGGCUAAUGCCGUGCCAGCAGCCGCGGUAAUACGGAGGGUCCGGGCGUUAUCCGGAUUUAUUGGGUUUAAAGGGAGCGUAGGUGGAUUGUUAAGUGAGUUGUGAAAGUCCGUGGCUCAACCUUGAAAGUGCAGUUGAUACUGGCAGGCUUGAGUGUGGUAGAGGGGGGCGGAAUUCGUGGUGUAGCGGUGAAAUGCUUAGAGAUGACGAAGAACACCGAUUGCGAAGGCAGCACACUGGACUGCGACUGACGCUGAGGCGCGAAGGUGUGGGUAUCAAACAGGAUUAGAUACCCGAGUAGUC
Molecule: ribosomal RNA, 460 nt
Filed under: uncultured bacterium
Lineage: Bacteria
Description: partial 16S ribosomal RNA
Rfam family: Bacterial small subunit ribosomal RNA
Source: RNAcentral